CGAACGGGUGAGUAAUAUAUCGGAACGUGCCCAGUCGUAGGGAUAACGUAGCGAAAGCUACGCUAAUACCGCAUACGAUCUAUGGAUGAAANCGGGGGAUCGCAAGACCUCGCGCGAUUGGAGCGGCCGAUAUCAGAUUAGGUAGUUGGUGAGGUAAAGGCUCACCAAGCCGACGAUCUGUAGCUGGUCUGAGAGGACGACCAGCCACACUGGGACUGAGACACGGCCCAGACUCCUACGGGAGGCAGCAGUGGGGAAUUUUGGACAAUGGGCGCAAGCCUGAUCCAGCAAUGCCGCGUGCAGGAUGGAGGCCUUCGGGUUGUAAACUGCUUUGUACGGAACGAAACGGUGAGCUCUAAUACAGUUUGCUAAUGACGGUACCGUAAGAAUAAGCACCGGCUAACUACGUG
This 410-nucleotide ribosomal RNA is filed under the name uncultured bacterium. RNAcentral describes it as "bacterial SSU rRNA". It matches the Rfam family "Bacterial small subunit ribosomal RNA", at positions 99 to 507 of the family's 1533-position model. The record is from RNAcentral.